GAUGAAGAACGUAGCGAAAUGCGAUAAGUAAUGUGAAUUGCAGAAUUCAGUGAAUCAUCGAAUCUUUGAACGCACAUUGCGCCCUCUGGUAUUCCGGGGGGCAUGCCUGUUCGAGCGUCAUUGCAACCCCUCAAGCACAGCUUGUGUGUUGGGCUCUCGUCCCCUGUGGACGCGCCUGAAAUGCAGUGGCAGCACCGAGAUACCGGUGUCUGAGUGUAUGGGCAUUGAUCAUCACUCGAUAGACCCGAUCGGCGCUGACCGUCAAACCACGAUUCCUUGGAAUCAUCCAGUUUUGACCUCGGAUCAGGUAGGAAUACCCGCUGAACUUAAGCAUAUCAAUAAGCGGAGGA
RNAcentral lists this unclassified non-coding RNA (350 nucleotides) under soil metagenome. RNAcentral describes it as "partial contains 5.8S ribosomal RNA, internal transcribed spacer 2, and large subunit ribosomal RNA". The stretch from base 1 to 120 matches the Rfam family "5.8S ribosomal RNA", at positions 35 to 154 of the family's 154-position model. The record is from RNAcentral.